CCUACGGGUGGCAGCAGUGAGGAAUAUUGGUCAAUGGGCGCGAGCCUGAUCCAGCCAAGUAGCGUGAAGGAUGACUGCCCUACGGUUUGUAAACUUCUUUUAUAAAGGAAUAAAGUGAGGCACGUGUGCCUUUUUGCAUGUACUUUAUGAAUAAGGAUCGGCUAACUCCGUGCCAGCAGCCGCGGUAAUACGGAGGAUCCGAGCGUUAUCCGGAUUUAUGGGGUUUAAAGGGAGCGUAGAUGGGUUGUUAAGUCAGUUGUGAAAGUUUGCGGCUCAACCGUAAAAUUGCAAUUGAUACUGGCAGUCUUGAGUACAGUUGAGGUAGGCGGAAUUCGUGGUGUAGCGGUGAAAUGCUUAGAUAUCACGAAGAACUCCGAUGGCGAAGGCAGCUUACUAAACUGACACUGACAUUGAUGCUCGAAAGUGUGGGUAUCAAACAGGAUUAGAUACCCCGGUAGUC
RNAcentral lists this ribosomal RNA (460 nucleotides) under uncultured bacterium. RNAcentral's name for it is "partial 16S ribosomal RNA". It matches the Rfam family "Bacterial small subunit ribosomal RNA", at positions 338 to 795 of the family's 1533-position model. The record is from RNAcentral.